UGGGGAAUAUUGCACAAUGGGCGCAACCCUGAUGCAGCCAUGCCGCGUGUAUGAAGAAGGCCUUCGGGUUGUAAAGUACUUUCAGCGGGGAGGAAGGCGAUAAGGUUAAUAACCUUGUCGAUUGACGUUACCCGCAGAAGAAGCACCGGCUAACUCCGUGCCAGCAGCCGCGGCAAUACGGAGGGUGCAAGCGUUAAUAGGAAUUACUGGGCGUAAAGCGCACGCAGGCGGUCUGUCAAGUCGGAUGUGAAAUCCCCGGGCUCAACCUGGGAACUGCAUUCGAAACUGGCAGGCUAGAGUCUUGUAGAGGGGGGUAGAAUUCCAGGUGUAGCGGUGAAAUGCGUAGAGAUCUGGAGGAAUACCGGUGGCGAAGGCGGCCCCCUGGACAAAGACUGACGCUCAGGUGCGAAAGCGUGGGGAGCAAACA
RNAcentral lists this ribosomal RNA (427 nucleotides) under uncultured bacterium. RNAcentral's name for it is "partial 16S ribosomal RNA". It matches the Rfam family "Bacterial small subunit ribosomal RNA", at positions 355 to 774 of the family's 1533-position model. The record is from RNAcentral.